UUGGGAGCUCUCCCAUAUGGUCGACCUGCAGGCGGCCGCGAAUUCACUAGUGAUUAGAGUUUGAUCAUGGCUCAGAUUGAACGCUGGCGGCAGGCCUAACACAUGCAAGUCGAGCGGUAGAGAGAAGCUUGCUUCUCUUGAGAGCGGCGGACGGGUGAGUAAUGCCUAGGAAUCUGCCUGGUAGUGGGGGAUAACGUUCGGAAACGGACGCUAAUACCGCAUACGUCCUACGGGAGAAAGCAGGGGACCUUCGGGCCUUGCGCUAUCAGAUGAGCCUAGGUCGGAUUAGCUAGUUGGUGGGGUAAUGGCUCACCAAGGCGACGAUCCGUAACUGGUCUGAGAGGAUGAUCAGUCACACUGGAACUGAGACACGGUCCAGACUCCUACGGGAGGCAGCAGUGGGGAAUAUUGGACAAUGGGCGAAAGCCUGAUCCAGCCAUGCCGCGUGUGUGAAGAAGGUCUUCGGAUUGUAAAGAAUCGAAUUCCCGCGGCCGCCAUGGCGGCCGGGAGCAUGCGACGU
This 520-nucleotide ribosomal RNA is filed under the name uncultured Gammaproteobacteria bacterium. Its description in RNAcentral is "bacterial SSU rRNA". It matches the Rfam family "Bacterial small subunit ribosomal RNA", at positions 1 to 496 of the family's 1533-position model. The record is from RNAcentral. Lineage: Bacteria; Pseudomonadati; Pseudomonadota; Gammaproteobacteria.